AUGAAGCAAAGAUUCCAAUCACUAAAGAUGGAGAAAGCCAUGGGAGCCUGGUGUGCAAUGGUUGCAAACAGCAGCCUCCUUGGUAGUGUAUGCAGCCUGUUGCCCAAUAUGGGCUGCUCUAAGGGACCUUGGAGACAAUU
Mesocricetus auratus (golden hamster) is the source of this 140-nucleotide small nucleolar RNA. RefSeq annotates it as small nucleolar RNA SNORA70. The transcript has a single exon. NCBI's taxonomy places the organism in Eukaryota, Metazoa, Chordata, Mammalia, Rodentia, Cricetidae. The record is from RefSeq and is a predicted model, not a curated record.